This 492-nucleotide ribosomal RNA is filed under the name uncultured bacterium. RNAcentral describes it as "partial 16S ribosomal RNA". It matches the Rfam family "Bacterial small subunit ribosomal RNA", at positions 29 to 507 of the family's 1533-position model. The record is from RNAcentral.
AAUGAACGCUGGCGGUAGGCCUAACACAUGCAAGUCGAACGGCAGCACAGUAAGAGCUUGCUCUUACGGGUGGCGAGUGGCGGACGGGUGAGGUAUACAUCGGAAUCUACUUUUUCGGGGGGGCUAACGUAGGAAAACUUCCUCUAAUACCGCAUACAUCCUACGGGGGAAAGCAGGGGUUGUUCUAACCUGUCGCUAUGGAAUAAGCCGAUGUCGGAUUCGCUAGUUGGCGGGGUAGAGGCACAACAAGGCGACGAUCCGUAUCUGCUCUGACAGGAUGAUCAGCCACACUGGAACUGAGAAACGGCACAGACUCUUACGCGAGGAAGCAGUCGGGAAUCUUGGGCAAUGGGCGAAAGCCUGAUACAGCAAUACCGCGUGAGUGCUGAAGGCGUUCGGCUUGUAGAGCCAUUUUGUUCGGAAAGAAAAACAGCAGUUUUAUCCCCCGUUGUACUGACGGUACCGAAAGAAUAAGCACCGGCUAACUUCGUG